UAAAAUGGAGAUAAUUUAUUAUCUUGACCCAUUGGCGAAAGACAUUAAUAUGAGGCAAGAUUUGAAGAAGUUGUUUGACAUGGUUAUACAAACCUACCGAGCUCAAAGAGGGUCUAUGGUUUCAAAGUCUAAGUUAAGCAAUAUCAAAUGGACACCAAUUAAGUGUCCAAAAC
Molecule: long non-coding RNA, 173 nt
Organism: Vigna unguiculata (cowpea)
Lineage: Eukaryota; Viridiplantae; Streptophyta; Magnoliopsida; Fabales; Fabaceae
Source: RefSeq, a predicted model, not a curated record